AUUGAACGCUGGCGGCAGGCUUAACACAUGCAAGUCGAGCGGAGAUGAGGUGCUUGCACCUUAUCUUAGCGGCGGACGGGUGAGUAAUGCUUAGGAAUCUGCCUAUUAGUGGGGGACAACAUUCCGAAAGGAAUGCUAAUACCGCAUACGUCCUACGGGAGAAAGCAGGGGAUCUUCGGACCUUGCGCUAAUAGAUGAGCCUAAGUCGGAUUAGCUAGUUGGUGGGGUAAAGGCCUACCAAGGCGACGAUCUGUAGCGGGUCUGAGAGGAUGAUCCGCCACACUGGGACUGAGACACGGCCCAGACUCCUACGGGAGGCAGCAGUGGGGAAUAUUGGACAAUGGGGGGAACCCUGAUCCAGCCAUGCCGCGUGUGUGAAGAAGGCCUUAUGGUUGUAAAGCACUUUAAGCGAGGAGGAGGCUACUGAGACUAAUACUCUUGGAUAGUGGACGUUACUCGCAGAAUAAGCACCGGCUAACUCU
Molecule: ribosomal RNA, 482 nt
Filed under: uncultured bacterium
Lineage: Bacteria
Description: bacterial SSU rRNA
Rfam family: Bacterial small subunit ribosomal RNA
Source: RNAcentral